RNAcentral lists this ribosomal RNA (575 nucleotides) under uncultured Alphaproteobacteria bacterium. RNAcentral describes it as "bacterial SSU rRNA". It matches the Rfam family "Bacterial small subunit ribosomal RNA", at positions 73 to 677 of the family's 1533-position model. Lineage: Bacteria; Pseudomonadati; Pseudomonadota; Alphaproteobacteria. The record is from RNAcentral.
GUCUAGUUUACUAGAUGCUGACGAGCGGCGGACGGCUGAGUAACGCGUGGGAACGUGCCCCAAAGUGAGGGAUAAGCAUCGGAAACGAUGUCUAAUACCGCAUAUGGUCUUCGGAUUAAAGGAUUUAUCCGCUUUGGGAGCGGCCCGCGUCGGAUUAGGUAGUUGGUAGGGUAAUAGCCUACCAAGCCUACGAUCCGUAGCUGGUCUGAGAGGAUGAUCAGCCAGACUGGAACUGAGACACGGUCCAGACUCCUACGGGAGGCAGCAGUGAGGAAUCUUCCACAAUGGGCGAAAGCCUGAUGGAGCAACGCCGCGUGAAGGAUGAAGGCCCUAGGGUUGUAAACUUCUUUUAUAAGUGAAGAAUAUGACGGUAACUUAUGAAUAAGCACCGGCUAACUACGUGCCAGCAGCCGCGGUCAUACGUAGGGUGCAAGCAUUAUCCGGAGUGACUGGGCGUAAAGAGUUGCGUAGGUGGUUAGUAAAGUGAAUAGUGAAACCUGGUGGCUCAACCACACAGACUAUUAUUCAAACUCACUAACUCGAGAAUGGUAGAGGUAACUGGAAUUUCUUGUGUA